Molecule: ribosomal RNA, 549 nt
Filed under: uncultured marine Telonemida
Lineage: Eukaryota; Telonemia; Telonemida
Description: SSU rRNA
Rfam family: Eukaryotic small subunit ribosomal RNA
Source: RNAcentral
UUACCCAAUCCUGACACAGGGAGGUAGUGACAAUAAAUAACAAUACUGGACUUUUUCAAGCCCAGUAAUUGGAAUGAGAACAAUUUAAAUCCCUUAUCGAGUAUCAAUUGGAGGGCAAGUCUGGUGCCAGCAGCCGCGGUAAUUCCAGCUCCAAUAGCGUAUAUUAAAGUUGUUGCAGUUAAAAAGCUCGUAGUUGGAGUUCAGAGUGAGCUCAGACGGUCGGCCUAAUGGGUCAGAACUGGUUGACUCUCUCUUGUUUGUGGAUCCCGCCCGGAGUUAAUUCUUCGGAUGUGGACUCCACAUCGUUUACCUUGAAAAAAUUAGAGUGUUCAAAGCAGGCGUUUGCUUGAAUAUAUUAGCAUGGAAUAAUGGAAUAGGACCCUGGUUCUAUUUUGUUGGUUUUGAGGACCAGAGUAAUGAUUAAUAGGGAUAGUUGGGGGCAUUCAUAUUUCAUUGUCAGAGGUGAAAUUCUUGGAUUUAUGAAAGAUGAACUUCUGCGAAAGCAUUUGCCAAGGAUGUUUUCAUUAAUCAAGAACGAAAGUUAGGGGA